Molecule: ribosomal RNA, 436 nt
Filed under: uncultured bacterium
Lineage: Bacteria
Description: partial 16S ribosomal RNA
Rfam family: Bacterial small subunit ribosomal RNA
Source: RNAcentral
AGCGAACGCUGGCGGCAGGCUUAACACAUGCAAGUCGAGCGGGCAUCCUUGUGGUGUCAGCGGCAGACGGGUGAGUAACGCGUGGGAACGUGCCCUUCGGUUCGGAAUAACUCAGGGAAACUUGAGCUAAUACCGGAUACGCCCUUUUGGGGAAAGGUUUACUGCCGAAGGAUCGGCCCGCGUCUGAUUAGCUAGUUGGUGAGGUUAUGGCUCACCGAGGCGACGAUCAGUAGCUGGUCUGAGAGGAUGAUCAGCCACACUGGGACUGAGACACGGCCCAGACUCCUACGGGAGGCAGCAGUGGGGAAUAUUGGACAAUGGGGGCAACCCUGAUCCAGCCAUGCCGCGUGAGUGAUGACGGCCUUAGGGUUGUGAAGCUCUUUUCUCCGGGACGAUAAUGACGGUACCGGAGGAAUAAGCCCCGGCUAACUUCGUG